GGAGUUAGCCGGUGCUUCUUCUGUGAGUGAUGUCCUUCCUGCCGGCUAUUAACCCGCAGGCCUUCUUCCUCACUGAAAGUGCUUUACAACCCGAAGGCCUUCUUCACACACGCGGCAUGGCUGGAUCAGGGUUGCCCCCAUUGUCCAAUAUUCCCCACUGCUGCCUCCCGUAGGAGUCUGGGCCGUGUCUCAGUCCCAGUGUGGCUGAUCAUCCUCUCAGACCAGCUACGGAUCGUCGCCUUGGUGAGCCGUUACCUCACCAACCAGCUAAUCCGACAUAGGCUCAUCCGAUAGCGCGAGGCCCGAAGGUCCCCCGNUUUCCCCCGUAGGGCGUAUGCGGUAUUAGCCUGGGUUUCCCCCAGGUUAUCCCCCACUACCGGGCAGAUUCCUAUGCAUUACUCACCCGUCCGCCGCUCGCCACCAGGGAGCAAGCUCCCCGUGCUGCCGCUCGACUUGCAUGUGUUAGGCCUGCCGCCAGCGUUCAAUCUGAACCAAGAUCAAAUUCUGA
This 508-nucleotide ribosomal RNA is filed under the name uncultured bacterium. RNAcentral describes it as "partial 16S ribosomal RNA". The record is from RNAcentral.